UAGCACAACAUUGUAAGUCAGCUAGACUUUAAUCAAAAGAAAAAAAAAACAGCAAAAAAAAGAAGGAAAAGAGAGACAGAAAGAAAGAGAAAAAGAGAGAAAGAAAGAAAGAGAGAGAGAAAGAAAGAAAGAAAGAAAGAAAGAAAGAAAGAAAGAAAGCAAGCAAGCAGAAAAUGCACCAAGCAUUCUUUGUUCAGACCACACGGGCCCUCUGCUCAGAGUUGAUAAGAAGAGCGAGUAGGACCACGUCGGUAUGAGAGAUGCAGUAGGUGAACAGGUGUGCCUUCCCAAGUCAAACACCUGGGGUGUGAUGGAGCCAGAUGCUGGACAAAAGGCGGUGCACGUCUGCGAUAUUGAAAGGGGAAAAAAAGAAGAACCCCGCUAUCACUGCAGCUUUCUACUGACGAGUAAUUUCCAAAGCACAGUGCAGGGAGGGGACACAGGAACAGAAUCGAGAUCUCGUGGAGCUGAGGAGACAAAAAUUAAAGUUCAGGGGAGAUAAGGCAGAUGCAGACUGUAGGACAGGGGACCCAAGAGGAGGAGUCUGGAAAUUGCACAGAGGUUCUCUUGAGUCUCUGCCUGACCACAGUCUGAACAAGGGCAGCAUGAAAUUCCACAGGCCAGGCAGCGAUGCCCACAGAACUGCCCAGAACUUUACACGUGUGUGAAAUAUUUAAGUUCCCACGAGCCAGAGGGCAGAGACCUCACUGAAUAUAUAAAGCAGUCAUUGGAGGCCGACAAAAUCUUACCUAUGGGCUCUGGUCCAAUUGGAAGGCACAAACCAGCCAGGUGUCUGAACAGGAAAAUUUCAUAUAAAGAAGUAUUAACUGCAAUAGGGGAGGAACUGUGAAGAUGAAAAGAGAAUGCGAGAAAAUCCCGAGGCUGAAGGCACGGAGCCAAGAAUGGACACCCCUGGAAGGAGGGCUUCUUCCUCACGGCCGGGACUCAGACCUCGCUGGAGACAGCACUUGCAGGAUAGUGAAGACUUUUGCUGGAGUGUGCGAAGCUCAGCGGGUUCACAGCAGCCAUGGAAACAGGAAGCAUCCUGCAGGUGCAGAUGGGCCAAGGCUGGUGGGCCAGUGUGCAGAGAGCUGGGGCACUGGAAGCCCGCUUGCCAACAGGUGGCAGGAACCAUGGUGUCCAUACCCAGAGGGCUACAUCCGGGUGGUGAUCAGACUGGGUCCGAGCACCACGGGCCGUGAUCUGUGUAAGAAAAAAAAAAAAAAUGGCACAUCAGAACCAGAAAAAGAAGCUCCUUCCUCCCGAAUUUCCCUCCAGCACCCUCUGCUGACAAAGCCUGAUAUUGUGCUCACUGGAGAGGAGAAAGAAAUGUUUACUGCUUCAUUAUCACAGCACAAGAGAACAACUGGUCCGUCGGGAGCUGAGAGGCCAGGAAGCGAUAAAUGGCAUGUGGGACAAAAACAGCCCUAGAGGAAAAGAAUGCUUUAGAUCUGCUACAACCCAACACGAGACUCCAAAAAAUCAAAGUCAUCUUCGAAUAUCUUAACUGUGAAAUAGGAAAAACUCCACCGCCUUUAAAGAAAUACAAUAAGGCAGGACCUGUCAUGGCGCAGCGGCAACGAAUCUGACUAGGAACCAUGAGGUUGCGGGUUUGAUCCCUGGCCUUUCUCAGUGGGUUAAGGAUCUGACUUUGCCAAAAAGGCGAAAAACAAAUAGACUAAAACCCAGCACUGGAUAUCACAUUGGUGAUGUCAGGUAUAUCAUCGAAAACUCCUAGACAAGUAUUAGCUUGGGGCAAAGAUGGAGUUGCGGAGAGAUGGACUUUUCCUCCUGCCAGAAAUGGAAAAGUACCUACCAUGAUGGUUAUGGAGAUAUUUUACACCAGGCAACAGAGGACAGCGACCCCUCGGAGAGAGAAGCAAACAAGGUGGGCCCUACAAUUGCGCAUCUUGCUGCGUGGAGAGGGGAUUUCUAAGUCCUGAUACGGAGAGCAAGAGCCCAGACAAGCCGAGGAGGCUGCCUGAGUAAAGGAGCGAGGCUGAGAGUUUGUAAACAAAGCAGCAGGAAUGCUCCAGGACCAGAGAGGAGAGUAGCACAGAGAGAACCCCAGAGGUGUGUGGGUGCUCAGCUUGAGUCAUCCAGCACUUACCGAACUGCGGCUAUUUCAGCAUUUACUGAAAUCAAAUUUCUUGAGAUGAAAACUACAGUGUGAGAGACUUAAAAACACACUGGAUAGAAUUGAGAGUCACUUAGACGUUGCAGAAGAAAAGAUGGGUGAAGGUGAGCGCGCAGCAAUAAAAACUAACCACACGGAAACAGAAAGAAAAUUAACUGACACUAAAACAAGCAGAAUGUUAGUGAGUUGUAGGAAAAUAUCCAGCAGCCUAGUACAUGACGCACUGGAGCCCCUGGAAGGGACGGGAGAAGAAAAGGUAUUUGGGGAAAGCAACGGCCAAAACGCUUCUAAAUCUGAUGAAAACAAUAAACGCACAGCCAAGAAUCUCAACAAACUCCAAGCACAAGAAAUAUAAUGAAAGGUAUUGAGAAAAAUAUAUAUAAUCAAAUUGUUCAAAACCAGAAAUAAGGAGAGAUCUUAAUAGCAGAUGGAGCAAAAAUAUACAUAACAUACAGAGGCACAAAUUUAAGAAUAACAGCAGGAGUUCCCCUCGUGGCUCAGCAGAAAUGAAACUGACUAGAGUCCAUGAGGAUGCAUGUUUGAUCCCUGGCCUCACUCAGUGGGUUAAGCAUCUGGCAUUGCCACGAGCUGGGGUGUAGGUCGCAGACACGGCUCGGAUCUGGCAUUGCUGUGGCCGUGGCGUAGGCUGGCAGCUGUAGCUCCGAUUGUACCCCUAGCCUGGGAACCUCCAUAUGCCAGGGGUGCGGCCUUAAAAAGACUGAAAAAAAAAGAAAAA
This 2873-nucleotide long non-coding RNA is filed under the name Sus scrofa (pig). RNAcentral describes it as "lncRNA (ENSSSCG00030001302.1)". The record is from RNAcentral. Lineage: Eukaryota; Metazoa; Chordata; Mammalia; Artiodactyla; Suidae.